AAAUUGAAGAGUUUGAUCAUGGCUCAGAUUGAACGCUGGCGGCAGGCCUAACACAUGCAAGUCGAGCGGUAGCACAGAGAGCUUGCUCUCGGGUGACGAGCGGCGGACGGGUGAGUAAUGUCUGGGAAACUGCCUGAUGGAGGGGGAUAACUACUGGAAACGGUAGCUAAUACCGCAUAAUGUCGCAAGACCAAAGUGGGGGACCUUCGGGCCUCAUGCCAUCAGAUGUGCCCAGAUGGGAUUAGCUAGUAGGUGGGGUAACGGCUCACCUAGGCGACGAUCCCUAGCUGGUCUGAGAGGAUGACCAGCCACACUGGAACUGAGACACGGUCCAGACUCCUACGGGAGGCAGCAGUGGGGAAUAUUGCACAAUGGGCGCAAGCCUGAUGCAGCCAUGCCGCGUGUGUGAAGAAGGCCUUCGGGUUGUAAAGCACUUUCAGCGGGGAGGAAGGCGUUAAGGUUAAUAACCUUGGCGAUUGACGUUACCCGCAGAAGAAGCACCGGCUAACUCCGUGCCAGCAGCCGCGGUAAUACGGAGGGUGCGAGCGUUAAUCGGAAUUACUGGGCGUAAAGCGCACGCAGGCGGUCUGUCAAGUCGGAUGUGAAAUCCCCGGGCUCAACCUGGGAACUGCAUUCGAAACUGGCAGGCUAGAGUCUUGUAGAGGGGGGUAGAAUUCCAGGUGUAGCGGUGAAAUGCGUAGAGAUCUGGAGGAAUACCGGUGGCGAAGGCGGCCCCCUGGACAAAGACUGACGCUCAGGUGCGAAAGCGUGGGGAGCAAACAGGAUUAGAUACCCUGGUAGUCCACGCCGUAAACGAUGUCGAUUUGGAGGUUGUGCCCUUGAGGCGUGGCUUCCGGAGCUAACGCGUUAAAUCGACCGCCUGGGGAGUACGGCCGCAAGGUUAAAACUCAAAUGAAUUGACGGGGGCCCGCACAAGCGGUGGAGCAUGUGGUUUAAUUCGAUGCAACGCGAAGAACCUUACCUGGUCUUGACAUCCACAGAACUUUCCAGAGAUGGAUUGGUGCCUUCGGGAACUGUGAGACAGGUGCUGCAUGGCUGUCGUCAGCUCGUGUUGUGAAAUGUUGGGUUAAGUCCCGCAACGAGCGCAACCCUUAUCCUUUGUUGCCAGCGGUUAGGCCGGGAACUCAAAGGAGACUGCCAGUGAUAAACUGGAGGAAGGUGGGGAUGACGUCAAGUCAUCAUGGCCCUUACGACCAGGGCUACACACGUGCUACAAUGGCAUAUACAAAGAGAAGCGACCUCGCGAGAGCAAGCGGACCUCAUAAAGUAUGUCGUAGUCCGGAUUGGAGUCUGCAACUCGACUCCAUGAAGUCGGAAUCGCUAGUAAUCGUAGAUCAGAAUGCUACGGUGAAUACGUUCCCGGGCCUUGUACACACCGCCCGUCACACCAUGGGAGUGGGUUGCAAAAGAAGUAGGUAGCUUAACCUUCGGGAGGGCGCUUACCACUUUGUGAUUCAUGACUGGGGUGAAGUCGUAACAAGGUAACCGUAGGGGAACCUGCGGUUGGAUCACCUCCUUACCUUAAAGAA
RNAcentral lists this ribosomal RNA (1550 nucleotides) under Klebsiella pneumoniae. Its description in RNAcentral is "bacterial SSU rRNA". It matches the Rfam family "Bacterial small subunit ribosomal RNA". Lineage: Bacteria; Pseudomonadati; Pseudomonadota; Gammaproteobacteria; Enterobacterales; Enterobacteriaceae. The record is from RNAcentral.